ACGGAAGGCAGCAGUGGGGAAUAUUGGGCAAUGGGCGAAAGCCUGACCCAGCGACGCCGCGUGAAGGAAGAAGGCCUUCGGGUUGUAAACUUCUGUAGACAGGGACGAAGAAAUGACGGUACCUGUAAAGUAAGCCACGGCUCACUACGUGCCAGCAGCCGCGGUAAUACGUAGGUGGCGAGCGUUAUCCGGAUUUACUGGGUGUAAAGGGUGUGUAGGCGGAGGAUCAAGUCAGAUGUGAAAAUUAUGGGCUCAACUCAUAACUUGCAUUUGAAACUGAUCUCCUUGAGUGUGUGAGAGGUAAAUGGAAUUCCCAGUGUAGCGGUGAAAUGCGUAGAUAUUGGGAGGAACACCAGUGGCGAAGGCGGUUUACUGGACCACAACUGACGCUGAGACACGAAAGCGUGUGGAGCAAACAUGAUUAGAUACCCUGGUA
This 436-nucleotide ribosomal RNA is filed under the name uncultured Oscillospiraceae bacterium. RNAcentral's name for it is "partial 16S ribosomal RNA". It matches the Rfam family "Bacterial small subunit ribosomal RNA", at positions 341 to 792 of the family's 1533-position model. The record is from RNAcentral. Lineage: Bacteria; Bacillati; Bacillota; Clostridia; Eubacteriales; Oscillospiraceae.